Molecule: transfer-messenger RNA, 396 nt
Filed under: Pseudomonadales
Lineage: Bacteria; Pseudomonadati; Pseudomonadota; Gammaproteobacteria
Also listed under: 5 other names
Description: UBA7455 sp002690865 Standard tmRNA
Rfam family: transfer-messenger RNA
About the family: Bacterial tmRNA, also known as 10Sa RNA or SsrA, is named for its dual tRNA and mRNA-like properties. Its role is to liberate the mRNA from a stalled ribosome.
Source: RNAcentral
GGGGGUGACUUGGCUUCGACGCCGGUGACAAACCCUGAGGUGCAUGCCGAGAGGGUAGUGACUCUCGUAAAUCAAUCGCUGUAACUUUUAUAGUUGCCAAUGACGAAAACUACGCACUAGCUGCUUAAUAAUUCGGCUUCGGCCGAGCUUCCCGAAAGGGAUAAUUUAAGUUAGUUAACCCUAGGGCGAAUGUGCCCAUGUAUUCAAACUAGGGGCUCGACUCAUGGGACAGCUGCCAGACCUCGCUUGUGGUUAAAGCAGUUAAACUUAAAGCAAGCUCGCCUUUUAAUCCCUGUUCGUUGGGCUAGUGAAAGGUUAAAUGGUAAACGAACUAAGCAUGUAGAACCAAAGGCAGAGUACUGACGGACGCGGGUUCAACUCCCGCCACCUCCACCA